Oryza meridionalis is the source of this 210-nucleotide non-coding RNA. The record is from Rfam. Lineage: Eukaryota; Viridiplantae; Streptophyta; Magnoliopsida; Poales; Poaceae.
AAUAAGCGUAGUUUUACACUGCUUAUGUCCAACAUUUGACCGUUCGUCUUAUUUGAUAAAUGUUUUUACGAUUAGUAUUUUAAUUGUUAUUAUAUGAUAAAACAUGAAUAGUAAUAUAUGCGUGACUAAUUUCUUUUAUUUUUUUAUAAAUUUUUUAAAUAAGACGGACGAUCAAACGUUGGACAUAAGAUAUCUACAGCUGUACUUAUU